Diorhabda carinulata is the source of this 812-nucleotide long non-coding RNA. RefSeq lists it as uncharacterized. The transcript is spliced from 3 exons. The record is from RefSeq and is a predicted model, not a curated record. NCBI's taxonomy places the organism in Eukaryota, Metazoa, Arthropoda, Insecta, Coleoptera, Chrysomelidae.
GUCAAAUAUUAAACUCAAUGGAAUGAUAAACUAAAUAUAAAUGAAAUUGAUUGAAAUAUAAUAUAAAUGAAAUAAGAUUAUAUUAAGGUUAGGUUCAUUUUAGGAAUUAGGGUUUGUUAUUGGGCUAUAACAAUAACUCUGUUCUAUUUAUGACUUAUAACUAUAAUUUUAAUUCUUGUAUUAUUCAUCAUUAACACUAAAUUCGUAGUAGUACAUGUAAAUUAUAUUUUUUAUAUCUAUGUAAACAUAAUUUAAUUAUAUUUUCAUGAUAUUUUAACGGGAAGGAAAAGAAAUGCUUAAAAUCAGACUGAUAUAUUUUAUAUGGGAAAUUUGAGGAUUUGCACUCAAAACGUGUCUAAAAAUUUGUCAUUAUUAUUUGAUAGAAUGUAUAAUAAAAAACGUUGAUGAGGACAGUUGCAAGUAAAACAUUAAAUUUACCAGGUUAAAGUUUAUUCUGGAACAGCACAUCUAAAGGACCUAAAGCAACUGUUUCAGGCAAAUUAAAGUUAUUGAUUAAGUUAUGGAAGACACUUCAAUGUUACCAUCGAUGAAUAUGAAGUCUGAGAAGUCUCGGCUGGAUUCAUCUUGAAUUGUAAUACAUUUGAAAACAAAUAUGAAACUUGAGCUGACAACUCUUAAAUUGAAAAAAAAGAUUUGAAGAGCACAUUAUUGUCUCCAAUAUAAAAGCAGCCAGUGUUCCUGUAUGAAAGUGUUAUCAAAGAUAAGGAUGGAAAGGGUCAAUUUCAUUACUAUUCAAUAUCCUGAUGUUUCUUUUAAUGAGAAAAUAAAGUAUUAAAAAUGAAUACACCAAA